This 351-nucleotide ribosomal RNA is filed under the name uncultured bacterium. Its description in RNAcentral is "partial 16S ribosomal RNA". It matches the Rfam family "Bacterial small subunit ribosomal RNA", at positions 338 to 706 of the family's 1533-position model. The record is from RNAcentral.
CCUACGGGAGGCAGCAGUGAGGGAUAUUGGUCAAUGGGGGAAACCCUGAACCAACAACGCCGCGUGAGGGAAGACGGUUUUCGGAUUGUAAACCUCUGUCCUCUGUGAAGAUAAUGACGGUAGCAGAGGAGGAAGCUCCGGCUAACUACGUGCCAGCAGCCGCGGUAAUACGUAGGGAGCAAGCGUUGUCCGGAUUUACUGGGUGUAAAGGGUGUGUAGGCGGCCCUGCAAGUCAGAAGUGAAAUCCAUGGGCUUAACCCGUGAACUGCUUUUGAAACUGUAGGGCUUGAGUGAAGUAGAGGGAGGGGGAUUGCCGGGUGGCGGGGGAAAAUGGGUAGAGAGGGGGAAGAA